Molecule: long non-coding RNA, 1141 nt
Filed under: Sus scrofa (pig)
Lineage: Eukaryota; Metazoa; Chordata; Mammalia; Artiodactyla; Suidae
Description: lncRNA (ENSSSCG00035058023.1)
Source: RNAcentral
AUGGUCGAUACAGCAUCUCCCUGUGAGUGGAAAAGCAUCAAGAGAAAUCCUUCUUAUUUGCAAAGAAAAGCAGUUGUUUUAGAAAUAAAAUAUGUGCAAUAUCCCAGAAACACCUUUCAAAUUUAUUAUUUUCUUUUUAAAACAAUAUUGGCUUUAAAGGGGUUCACUCUUUAAAAAUGUGCAAUUCAGCAAUUUUUAGUAUAUUCACAAAGAAUAUUAAUUACUACUAUCUAAUUUCAGAAUAUUUUCAUUAUCCCUCCCCCCAAAUUCCCAUGGAUAUUAAGCCGUCACGUCUUAUUCUCCCCUUUUCCUAGUCCCUGAAAACCACAAAUUUAAUUUUUGUCUCUAGAGAUUUACCUAUUUUGGGUAUUUCUUAUGAAUGGAAUCAGACAAUACAUGGCAUUUUGUGUCUGGCUUUGUCCAGUCUCCAUGAUGUUUUCAGUGUUCACCUAUUUCGUAUCAUGUACCAAUACUUGAUUCCUUUCUAUGGCCAAAUAACACACCAUUGUGUGGAUGCAGCACAUUUUGUGCAUCCGUCCAUCAGUUGAUAGACAUCUGGGUUGUCUCUACUUUCGGCUUUUAUGAAUCAUGCUGCAAUCCACAUCCAUGUUCAAGUAUUUGUAAGAGUCCCUGUUUUCAGAUCUUUGGGGUAAUAUAUCUAGCAGUGGGAUUGCUAGUCUUAAGAGAAUUCUAUGUUUAACCUGUGAGGAAUCACCCAACUGCUUUUCACAGUGGGUGUACCAUUUUACGUACCUAUUAGCAGUAUUUGAGAGUUCCAAUUUCUCCAUAUCCUCAAUGACACUUAUUUUCCAUUUUUUUAAAAAAAUUAUAGCCACACUAGUAAGUAUAAAGUGGCAGAUGCAUUUAUCUUCAAAUAUAUUUGAAAAUAUAACCACCCUAUCAGACUCAUGGUAUUGUUGGUUUUCCAUUCAGGGCACUGAUAAGAUUUCCUAAAUAUACUUUCGUUUAAGUAGAAAAAAGUGAAUAGUUUAAUGACAAUAAGUAGAUAAAUAAUGUAUGGACGAGAUGGGGAUAUGGCAAAAUCUGUGGAGAUGUGAGCCAGGGGAAAGUUACUAAAUUUCUUUGAGCCUCAGUUUCAUUAUCUGUAAUAAAAGAGGGCCCUGGACUGCUAAGUGGAUCA